AGAAGCGUCGGGAAAAACAGGAACGCCGCUGACAUUUACCGACGCUUUAAUUAAGCGUCGGUAAUUCUUAAGAAUAGCCGACGCUAAUAAGCGUCGUCGUACUCACAGUCUAAGACGACGCUUAUAAGCGUCGUCCAAAGUCAAAUUUACAACCAAAACCAAGCGGCCGGCCCCCUUCUCCUCAUUUUGCAUUCCGACCGAUCGAUCAAGCCCUAGCCCCUUCUCCUCCUCCCUUCUCUCCGACGACGAGCGAGCGGCCCUUGUCCUCUCCGACGACGAGCGAGCGGCCCUUGUCCUCUCCGGCGCCGAGCGACGUACGACAGCAAGCUCCUCUCCUCCUCCCUCCUCUCUGGCACCGAGCGACCGUCCGCGUCCUCCUCUCCUCCUUCCUCCUCUGCGGCGCCGACCGGCCGGCCCCAUCUCCCUCCGCCUGAGAAAGAGGGUUCUCCCCGCCACCACGACCUCAUCCUCCGGGCUUUCGCCGAGAUCUGGGACGAGGUCUUCUCCGGCUACGAGGACACCCCCGAUCUCCUCCGCCGUACCUACUCCUGCUUCUCCCAACCUCGGCACUUCUAAUAAUCAUACGUAAAUAUCCCCCCGCUCCUUAUCUCUUGCUCUUCUUCUUCUUCUUCUUCUUCUUCUUCUUCUUGGUAAAUGAUGCUCUUCUUCUUCUGUAUUGCUCUUUCCAUGAAUGAAUUCAUAGAUGGAAGCUAUCAAUGCUAUACUUUUGGCUUCUUUUUUUCUUUUGUGUGUAUUAAUUCUGAAGUCAAAUUCUGAUGAACAUGGAUGGGUGGUAUCUGGGAAAGUUGGAGUCUUGAUGGGGGCAAAGAUUUUCUGCUAAUUUUGAUGCUCAACGUAGGAAUUUUGAAGUACUUUGGUGGCCAUAGUUUGGGCAAUUGCAGCCGCUGGAUCUGUGUGACGGAAAAAAUGCUCCGUGUCUGUACUUAUUAUUGGUUUCCAUUACAUCGACUCCGUGUUCUGAUUCCUGGAUUGAUUUGCAGCAUUUCGUCUACCACCAUCGAACCAUGCGGCUUUAGAUCCGGGAAUUGCUGUUCGCCAAGCACCUAGUGAGGAAUUGCUGGGGAAGACCGUCUUACUGUGGAUGAAGUGAAUGAAGAGGUUGAAAUUACUGAUUGCUGAGGUCUUAUUUGAGACAAUUGAACUUAAUGCAUAUCUGGAAAAUAUAUUCCGUUCUGAUAUCUUUGACCAUAAUUUUGUUUGCGUCUCUUAUUAUUGCAUCUGGACUUACGUAUAGGGGAGGAAGACAAUAAUGUUGUGGACCAUACAUAGUCCAUGGUAAAAUGUUGGUGAAGGUAGGUAGUGGAAGAUGAUCCAUGACAGAGCUACUAAGCAUUUUCUAAUCAUCAGGAUGGUGUAACUUGAUUUUAAUUUCUCCCUUCAUCCCAUUUCUUUAAGUGCUAUGCUAGCUAUUCAGAUGGAUAAAAGGGGUUUUUAUGAUAUCUCCAUAUUUAUGCACUUAUCUCCUUAAUUCUUUGACAUUUUGUUUCUUGAGGAGAAUGGGGAAGGCAGCCAUUGGAAAGCCAACUGAGCAACAGGAACAGAAACAAUAAAGAUCAGCACAUACAGUGUAUUCUUCAGUGGAUGAAAGGAGUGAUACUUGCCCUACUUGUAAACAGGUAUACAUUGUUCCCGCACUUAUGUGAUUACUGAUAUGUUUCUUCUGUUUCAUUAGGUAAUGAUUUUUGAGAAAAUCAUUUAGAAAGAUUUAUACUUGCUAAUUUGCUUUAAAAAGAUUUAUAGCAUUAACAAGAACACUAGCACACAGGUCAAUACGAAGGAGAAGGCGAAACAUUAAUAAAAUCUUUCAUUCCUUUUAGCAUCUAUAACAUCUGUUUCCAACCCUUCUUUCUGAGAAAUAAAAGCUCUUAUGCAAGAAUGAGCUGUGAUUCAGAGUUGCAUGAAUUGUUAACAUAUCAUUAGUAAACAAUGGGUAGUGUAUCGAGCAGCUCAGCAUCAGAAACAAUCUUACCAAAGAAUUGGUGAGCACCGCAAUCAAUAUUUAGAUUUUAUUUAUUAUUUAACUAAUAUUGCUUCUUUUUGUGUA
Phoenix dactylifera (date palm) is the source of this 2065-nucleotide non-coding RNA. NCBI's taxonomy places the organism in Eukaryota, Viridiplantae, Streptophyta, Magnoliopsida, Arecales, Arecaceae. The record is from RefSeq and is a predicted model, not a curated record.